This 408-nucleotide ribosomal RNA is filed under the name uncultured bacterium. Its description in RNAcentral is "bacterial SSU rRNA". It matches the Rfam family "Bacterial small subunit ribosomal RNA", at positions 355 to 775 of the family's 1533-position model. The record is from RNAcentral.
UCGAGGAUCUUCGGCAAUGGGCGCAAGCCUGACCGAGCGACGCCGCGUGAAGGAUGAAGGCCUUCGGGUUGUAAACUUCUGUCGAGGGGGAUCAAGGGUAACUUGAGUGAUCCCUGGAGGAAGCACGGGCUAAGUUCGUGCCAGCAGCCGCGGUAAGACGAACCGUGCGAACGUUGUUCGGAAUCACUGGGCAUAAAGGGCGCGUAGGCGGCUUUUCAAGUCAGGGGUGAAAUCCGGCAGCUUAACUGUCGAAGUGCCCUUGAUACUGAUGAGCUCGAGGGAGGUAGGGGUCUGUGGAACUUCCGGUGGAGCGGUGAAAUGCGUUGAUAUCGGAAGGAACGCCGGUGGCGAAAGCGACGGACUGGACCUCUUCUGACGCUGAGGCGCGAAAGCCAGGGGAGCAAACGG